This is a long non-coding RNA of Tachyglossus aculeatus (Australian echidna), 1011 nucleotides long. RefSeq lists it as uncharacterized. The transcript has 3 exons. The record is from RefSeq and is a predicted model, not a curated record. Lineage: Eukaryota; Metazoa; Chordata; Mammalia; Monotremata; Tachyglossidae.
UUACAGUACAGAGAGGAGCAGAAAGUCUAGAGAAGAGCUUACAGACUAGAGAAUUUCAUGCCAAAUCCUACCUGUUUUUAAAUUAGAAUCGCCGGAGUUGUUUAUAAAUUACUAUAUCAGUGGAGACGAAUGGGAUGAAAGAAGCCAUAUAAAGCAGCAGGAAGAAGCAACAUAGGCUAGUGAAAAGAGCUGGGGCUUAGGAGUCAGAAGACCUGCUUUCUAAUCCUGGCUCUGCCACUUGCCUGCUGUGUGACCUUGGGUUUGGAUCAAAACACUAGUGCUAUUGAAUUUGAAACAAAGACAAACAUAAACUGAGCCUUUCAACAACAGUGAAGGUGUCAGCCUGACUGGAGCCCAAGAAAUUUACUUGGAAUUUCUGAGAGAGAUAAAUUUGGUCCAAACAAAAUUUGGUGCUUUUUAUGAAGAUCUGACCAUUGUUCAGGAUGAUUGGAAAGUGUCUGAAGGUGGAGGAGUAUUUGAAAUAAGGAAUAGGAAGUGUCCUCCUCUUGUCUUAUGCUGUCAAGUCUACACUUCAAGAAAUGUGCAUUUGAUGUUGGUUCAGUGGAAAGAGCAUGGAUCUCAGCUCUACAAGGGACUCCUGCUGGGACUAUCAUUAACCAGGACCUCAAGAGUUUCUUCUCCUGGGUUUCCAUUAGCAAAAGAUGCAGGUGGUUUUUGGUACUGGCCUGGAUAAGACAUACAUGUUAAUUCAAAUUCCCCAUGAAUCCUCCUCCUGAGAAUUCAACAGGAAAAGACAUUCACUAUGUGAACAGAGUUGAUUUUAUUGCUUGGGUCUAUGAACACUUGUAUGUUACUUAUACUUGACAUGGACAUUCAAAUGAGGGUCUUAUAAAAAGCUGUCAUUUUAGCCACUGCAGAUGUUCGGUUUUCUGGUCAGGUUUCAGGUCAGUGUCUAAGUGGUUAGUUUCUCCCACUUCACAGCAGUUAUUGUCAAUUUCCACUAAGCGCCUUUAUCUUGGAGGCCUGGUCACUCUGUAAACAACCCCCCCC